Molecule: ribosomal RNA, 466 nt
Filed under: uncultured Alphaproteobacteria bacterium
Lineage: Bacteria; Pseudomonadati; Pseudomonadota; Alphaproteobacteria
Description: bacterial SSU rRNA
Rfam family: Bacterial small subunit ribosomal RNA
Source: RNAcentral
GAGUUUGAUCUUGGCUCAGAGCGAACGCUGGCGGCAGGCCUAACACAUGCAAGUCGAGCGCCCCGCAAGGGGAGCGGCAGACGGGAGAGUAACACGUGGGAACGUACCCUUCAGUUCGGAACAACCCAGGGAAACUUGGGCUAAUACCGAAUACGUCCGUAAGGAGAAAGAUUUAUCGCUGAAGGAUCGGCCCGCGUCUGAUUAGCUAGUUGGUGAGGUAAUGGCUCACCAAGGCGACGAUCAGUAGCUGGUCUGAGAGGAUGAUCAGCCCCACUGGGACUGAGACACGGCCCAGACUCCUACGGGAGGCAGCAGUGGGGAAUAUUGGACAAUGGGCGCAAGCCUGAUCCAGCCAUGCCGCGUGGGUGAUGAAGGCCCUAGGGUUGUAAAGCCCUUUCGGCGGGAAGAUAAUGACGGUACCCGCAGAAGAAGCCCCGGCUAACUUCGUGCCAGCCGCCGCAGUAAC